UACGUAGGGUGCGAGCGUUGUCCGGAAUUAUUGGGCGUAAAGAGCUCGUAGGCGGUGUGUCACGUCGGCCGUGAAAACCUGCAGCUUAACUGUGGGCGUGCGGUCGAUACGGGCAUCACUGGAGUUCGGCAGGGGAGACUGGAAUUCCUGGUGUAGCGGUGGAAUGCGCAGAUAUCAGGAGGAACACCGGUGGCGAAGGCGGGUCUCUGGGCCGAUACUGACGCUGAGGAGCGAAAGCGUGGGGAGCGAACAGG
RNAcentral lists this ribosomal RNA (254 nucleotides) under uncultured bacterium. Its description in RNAcentral is "partial 16S ribosomal RNA". It matches the Rfam family "Bacterial small subunit ribosomal RNA", at positions 524 to 776 of the family's 1533-position model. The record is from RNAcentral.